AGGACGAACGCUGGCGGCGCGCUUAACACAUGCAAGUCGAGCGAGAACCGGGGCUUCGGCCCCGGGGACAGCGGCGAACGGGUGAGUAACACGUGGAUAACCUGCCCUCGGCACCGGGAUAGCCCGGGGAAACCCGGAUUAAUACCGGAUGGCCCUUCCGAUUUUCGAGUCGGUCGGCAAAGGUGCUUCGGCCUCCGGCCGAGGAUGGGUCCGCGGCGGAUUAGCUUGGUUGGUGGGGUAAUGGCCUACCAAGGCUCCGAUCCGUAGCUGGUCUGAGAGGACGAUCAGCCACACUGGGACUGAGACACGGCCCAGACUCCGUACGGGAGGCAGCAGGUGGGGAAUCUUAGCGCAAGUGGGACGAAAGCCUGACGCGAGCGACGCCGCGGUGGACGGGACGACGGCCGUUCGGUUACGUAACCUUC
Molecule: ribosomal RNA, 425 nt
Filed under: uncultured soil bacterium
Lineage: Bacteria
Description: bacterial SSU rRNA
Rfam family: Bacterial small subunit ribosomal RNA
Source: RNAcentral